GCGAGAAAACUUUGCAAUGUGCGAAAGCACGACAAGGUUAAUCCGAGUGAUUUCUGCUAAAGAAAUCUUUUGUCAGUCAUAAAACCACUGACGAAUAAGGGGUGGGCAAGUUCUGGUGUCAGCCGCCGCGGUAAAACCAGCACCUCAAGUGGUCAGGAUGAUUAUUGGGCCUAAAGCAUCCGUAGCCGGCUUUGUUAGUUUUCGGUUAAAUCCAUGUGCUCAACACAUGGGCUGCCGAAAAUACUGCAUGGCUAGGGAGUGGGAGAGGUAGACGGUACUCAGUAGGAAGGGGUAAAAUCCUUUGAUCUAUUGAUGACCACCUGUGGCGAAGGCGGUCUACCAGAACACGUUCGACGGUGAGGGAUGAAAGCUGGGGGAGCAAACCGG
This 387-nucleotide ribosomal RNA is filed under the name uncultured bacterium. Its description in RNAcentral is "bacterial SSU rRNA". It matches the Rfam family "Archaeal small subunit ribosomal RNA", at positions 339 to 727 of the family's 1478-position model. The record is from RNAcentral.